This 460-nucleotide ribosomal RNA is filed under the name uncultured bacterium. RNAcentral's name for it is "partial 16S ribosomal RNA". It matches the Rfam family "Bacterial small subunit ribosomal RNA", at positions 338 to 795 of the family's 1533-position model. The record is from RNAcentral.
CCUACGGGAGGCAGCAGUGAGGAAUAUUGGUCAAUGGACGAGAGUCUGAACCAGCCAAGUAGCGUGAAGGAUGACUGCCCUAUGGGUUGUAAACUUCUUUUAUAAAGGAAUAAAACGAGGUACGUGUGCCGUUUUGCAUGUACUUUAUGAAUAAGGAUCGGCUAAAUCCGUGCCAGCAGCCGCGGUAAUACGGAGGGUCCGGGAGUUAUCCGGAUUUAUUGGGUUUAAAGGGAGCGUAGAUGGGAUGUUAAGUCAGUUGUGAAAGUUUGCGGCUCAACCGGAAAAUUGCAACUGAUACUGGCAGUCUUGAGUACAGUUGAGGUAGGCGGAAUUCGUGGUGUAGCGGUGAAAUGCUUAGAUAUCACGAAGAACCCCGAUUGCGAAGGCAGCUUACUAAACUGUGACUGACAUUGAUGCUCGAAAGUGUGGGUAUCAAACAGGAUUAGAUACCCUGGUAGUC